Molecule: long non-coding RNA, 107 nt
Organism: Orbicella faveolata
Lineage: Eukaryota; Metazoa; Cnidaria; Anthozoa; Scleractinia; Merulinidae
Source: RefSeq, a predicted model, not a curated record
CUCUUGUUUUGGAAAGGUUCUUAAUUCCGGACAACAGAGAUGACUUCUUCACUUGUGCCCAACGGAGUAGAAUUGUUCAUAGAAUUUUGAUGAGAACUCAGUAUGGU